Molecule: small RNA, 1038 nt
Filed under: uncultured fungus
Lineage: Eukaryota; Fungi
Description: eukaryotic LSU rRNA
Rfam family: Eukaryotic large subunit ribosomal RNA (bases 605-1038)
Source: RNAcentral
UCCGUAGGUGAACCUGCGGAAGGAUCAUUAUUGAAUGAAUCUAGAGUUUGGUUGUCGCUGGCCCCCCCACAAUAAAGGGGGGCAUGUGCACACCUUCUCUUUUCAUCCACACACACCUGUGCACUUGUGAGACGGGAGGAUUUUCAGUCCUCCGUCUACUAAUCACACAAACUCAUUAUGACUUGAACUGAAUGUAAUUGAUGUAACACAUCAUUGGAACUAAGUUUCAACAACGGAUCUCUUGGCUCUCGCAUCGAUGAAGAACGCAGCGAAAUGCGAUAAGUAAUGUGAAUUGCAGAAUUCAGUGAAUCAUCGAAUCUUUGAACGCAUCUUGCGCUCCUUGGUAUUCCUUGGAGCAUGCCUGUUUGAGUAUCAUGAGAAAAACUCAAAGUCAAUUCCUUAAUUGGUUUUGCUUUGGACUUGGAGGUCUUUGCAGAUUUCACGUCUGCUCCUCUUAAAUGCAUUAGCUGGAUCUCAGUAUUAUGCUUGGUUCCACUCGGUGUGAUAAGUAUCACUCGCUGAGGACACUGUAAAAGGUGGCCAGGAAAAUACUGAUUUGAACCGCUUCUAACGGUCUAUUAAGUUAGACAAUUACCCUUGUGUUUGAUCUCAAAUCAGGUAGGACUACCCGCUGAACUUAAGCAUAUCAAUAAGCGGAGGAAAAGAAACUAACAAGGAUUCCCCUAGUAACGGCGAGUGAAGCGGGAAGAGCUCAAAUUUAAAAUCUGACGGUGUAUUCCGUCCGAGUUGUAGCCUAGAGAAGCAUCAUCCGCGCUGGACCAUGUACAAGUCUCUUGGAACAGAGCGUCAUAGAGGGUGAGAAUCCCGUCCUUGACAUGGACUCCCAGUGCUUUGUGUUGUGCUCUCGACGAGUCGAGUUGUUUGGGAAUGCAGCUCAAAAUGGGUGGUAAAUUCCAUCUAAAGCUAAAUAUUGGCGAGAGACCGAUAGCGAACAAGUACCGUGAGGGAAAGAUGAAAAGCACUUUGGAGAGAGAGUUAAACAGUACGUGAAAUUGUUGAAAGGGAAACGCUUGAAGU